RNAcentral lists this ribosomal RNA (292 nucleotides) under uncultured bacterium. RNAcentral describes it as "partial 16S ribosomal RNA". It matches the Rfam family "Bacterial small subunit ribosomal RNA", at positions 505 to 796 of the family's 1533-position model. The record is from RNAcentral.
GUGUCAGCCGCCGCGGUAAUACGUAGGGUCCGAGCGUUGUCCGGAGUUACUGGGCGUAAAGCGCGCGCAGGCGGCCCGCCAAGACCGGCGUGAAAGCCCCCGGCUCAACCGGGGAGGGUCGUCGGUGACUGGCGGGCUCGAGGACGGCAGGGGUCGGUGGAAUGCCCGGUGUAGUGGUGAAAUGCGUAGAGAUCGGGCGGAACACCCGUGGCGAAGGCGGCCGACUGGGCCGGUCCUGACGCUGAGGCGCGAAGGCGUGGGGAGCGAACGGGAUUAGAAACCCCCGUAGUCC